GACGAACGCUGGCGGCGUGCCUAAUACAUGCAAGUCGAACGCUGAAGGCGGAGCUUGUUUCUCUGGACGAGUUGCGAAAGGGUGAGUAACGCGUAGGUAACCUGCCUGGUAGCGGGGGAUAACUAUUGGAAACGAUAGCUAAUACCGCAUAAUAUUAGAUGUUGCAUGACAUUUGCCUUAAAGUUGCAAUUGCAUCACUACUAGAUGGACCUGCGUUGUUUUAGCUAGUUUGUGUGGUAACGGCGCAACAAAGCAACGGUACAUAGCCGACCUGAGAGGGGGGUCGGGCAAACUGGGACUGGGACACGGCCCAGACUCCUACGGGGAGCAGCCAGAGGGGAACUUCGGCAAUGGACGGAAGUCUGACCGAGGAACGCCGCGUGGGGGGAGAAGGUUUUCGGGUCGUAAAGCUCUGUUGUAAGGGGAGGAAGAGUGUGGGAGGGGAAAGUUCACACUGUGACGGUAUCUAACCAGAAAGGCACGGCUAACUACGUG
RNAcentral lists this ribosomal RNA (495 nucleotides) under uncultured bacterium. Its description in RNAcentral is "partial 16S ribosomal RNA". It matches the Rfam family "Bacterial small subunit ribosomal RNA", at positions 28 to 507 of the family's 1533-position model. The record is from RNAcentral.